This 254-nucleotide ribosomal RNA is filed under the name uncultured bacterium. RNAcentral describes it as "partial 16S ribosomal RNA". It matches the Rfam family "Bacterial small subunit ribosomal RNA", at positions 524 to 776 of the family's 1533-position model. The record is from RNAcentral.
UACGGAGGGUGCGAGCGUUGUCCGGAAUCAUUGGGCGUAAAGGGCGCGUAGGUGGCCCGGUCAGUCUUUGGUGAAAGCGCGGGGCUCAACCCUGCGUCGGCCAGGGAUACUGCCGCGGCUCGAGCACUGUAGAGGCAGGCGGAAUUCCGGGUGUAGCGGUGAAAUGCGUAGAUAUCGGAAGGAACAUCAGUGGCGAAAGCGACUUCCUGGACCAAUACUGACGCUCAUGUGCGAAAGCGUGGGGAGCAAACAGG